RNAcentral lists this ribosomal RNA (482 nucleotides) under uncultured bacterium. RNAcentral's name for it is "partial 16S ribosomal RNA". It matches the Rfam family "Bacterial small subunit ribosomal RNA", at positions 30 to 507 of the family's 1533-position model. The record is from RNAcentral.
AUUGAACGCUGGCGGCAUGCUUUACACAUGCGAGUCGAACGGUAACAGGCCGCAAGGUGCUGACGAGUGGCGGACGGGUGAGUAAUGCAUCGGAACGUGCCCAGUCGUGGGGGAUAACUACUCGAAAGAGUAGCUAAUACCGCAUACGAUCUAUGGAUGAAAGCGGGGGACCGUAAGGCCUCGCGCGAUUGGAGCGGCCGAUGUCAGAUUAGGUAGUUGGUGGGGUAAAGGCUCACCAAGCCAACGAUCUGUAGCUGGUCUGAGAGGACGACCAGCCACACUGGGACUGAGACACGGCCCAGACUCCUACGGGAGGCAGCAGUGGGGAAUUUUGGACAAUGGGCGCAAGCCUGAUCCAGCAAUGCCGCGUGCAGGAAGAAGGCCUUCGGGUUGUAAACUGCUUUUGUACGGAACGAAACGGCUCUGGUUAAUACCCGGGGCUAAUGACGGUACCGUAAGAAUAAGCACCGGCUAACUACGUG